This 1245-nucleotide ribosomal RNA is filed under the name unidentified. RNAcentral's name for it is "Bochrus foveatus 16S ribosomal RNA". The record is from RNAcentral.
AAUAAUUUUAUUAUUUGUUUUUUUUUUAUAAUUUAAUUGAAGUAAUUUAUUUUAUUAGUAAAGUUUAUUGAAAUUUAAGUUUUUAAUUAUAGUUAAUUGUACUGUAAAGGUAGAAAUCUAUUAUUUAAAAGUAUUCUUUUUUGAAGUACCUUUUGUAUCAGGGGUUAUUAAUUAAAAUUUAUUAAUCAAUAAUUUUCUCGAAACUAAAAGAUAUAAAUUUUUAUGUUAUUCUUUGUUAUAAUAAGGUUGAUAAUAAAAGUUUAGUGGUUAUAUGCUUUUCAAUUUUAGAUAUCUAGUUUCUUAAUAAAUGAAUUUAAUUCAGAAAUUUUGAAGUUAACUUUUAAUUUUAUUUAUUUUAAUUCGAAAUUUUAAUAUUUUGGGGGAUUAGCUCUAUUUUAUUAUUAUAAAUUUUUUUAAUUUAAGUUUAGUAGGAUUAAUAACUUCCAUCUUAUAAAUUCGUUAUAGUUUAACUUAAUCUUAUAUUUAUUUAUUUAAUUUUAAUUUUUUAUUUGGAUUAUUUAUUUAAUUUUAUAAUAUAUUUAAUAAUGAUGACAUUAGUAGUUUUAAUAAUUCAAUUAUUUAGGAAUUCGGCAAUUGUGAUUUCUGCCUGUUUAACAAAAACAUGUCCUGUAGAUUUUAAUUAUAGGUCUAACCUGCUCAAUGAGUAUUUAAAUGGCUGCAGUAUAUUAACUGUACAAAGGUAGCAUAAUAAUUUGUCUUUUAAUUAAAGGCUGGUAUGAAUGGUUGGACAAGAAAUUAACUUUCUUUAUUUGAAUUUUUUAAUUUAAUUUUUUAGUUAAAAAGCUAAAAUAUUUUUAUAAGACGAGAAGACCCUAUAGAAUUUUAUUUUAUUAAUUAUUUAUAAUUUUAUUUUUUGUUAUUUUUAUUUAUUAAAAUUUGAUUGGGGUGAUUAUAAAAUUUUUGUAACUUUUAUUAUUAUGUUUCAUUAAUUUAUGUAAAUUUGAUCCAGUUUUAUUGAUUAUAAGAUUAAAUUACCUUAGGGAUAACAGCGUAAUUCUUUUGGAGAGUUCAAAUCGAUGAAUGGAGUUUGCGACCUCGAUGUUGGAUUAAAGAAAAUUUUGGGUGUAGGUGUUCAAAUAUUAGGUCUGUUCGACCUUUAAAUCUUUACAUGAUCUGAGUUCAGACCGGCGUGAGCCAGGUUGGUUUCUAUCUAUAAUAAGUUUUUAUAUAUUAGUACGAAAGGACCAUUUAUUAUUAAAAUUUAAUAUUUUUUGAUUUACAUUA